AGUUUGACCUGAACUCCUCUGAGACCGGUAUCGUUUACACUGUUCACUAUGGCUUCUACGCUUGUGGGUGCAUCGUCGCUGGAGUCAUUUCCCAUUUUAAGGGUGAUGGCUGGUGCAUGGUGCUAGGCCAGUGCAGCUGCACAAUUGGAUUCCUUGUCAUGGCACCAGUCUCAUUUAUUGCCACAGAAAGAGAACUUUGGAAUGUGUAUGCAUGCCAAAUCCUUGUUGGCACAGGGACGUCCUUUUUAUUCAUAUGUGCAUACAGCCAUGUGCUUCAACACGUUAUGCGCCGUGGAUAUCCAAAUAACUUCCGCACCAACAGCUUUGUCUCCAGCUGUGUGUUCUCCUUCUUGGUUGUCGGGUGAGUGACGGAGCAUCGAAGCG
Rhipicephalus sanguineus (brown dog tick) is the source of this 384-nucleotide long non-coding RNA. RefSeq lists it as uncharacterized. NCBI's taxonomy places the organism in Eukaryota, Metazoa, Arthropoda, Arachnida, Ixodida, Ixodidae. The transcript has 4 exons. The record is from RefSeq and is a predicted model, not a curated record.